AGACCUGGGGCUGGGGCUUGCUGAGGAGGAGAAGACCAUGUGAAAAUGAUUUGUUCAUCUGUGAUCAGCACACUGUGGAAGGUCUCCAGAGAGAAGAGCUGCUUUGUGCAUGGAAAUUCAGCUGGACCUGCCUGAUGAAGAUGUCAGCAGGCACUGGGCAUAGGAGGAGGAUGCACCUGGACCAGAAUGGGACAGAGCAGAGCAUGUCCUGAUGAGUGUGCACAAGCUUCUGACUGCAACACCAUCCUGAGAAAGCUGCCUGUGGAUGGAGGGAACAGUAGGAGGAAAGCCAGCAGGUCUCUGUUCAGGCCAAAGAUAAAAUGAUACUAAUCACUUCAGAGGAACUUUGUCUAACAUGGUUAUAAUAUCAACAGAAUGCCAGAAACCUCUCUCAACUUGUGUGGAGAUCUUCAAUCCAUACCUGAUGGGAAGGAAGGAACAGUGUUCUUUAAGGGAAUGACAUUUUUAAUGCCAGAAGAAUGGUAAUGUCCAACAGGACAAGAUAGUGCUGGAGGCAUGCAAUGCUGCACAAUGUCAGCAGAAACCAAGAUUAUGGAAGUCUAUCUGUUUUGAACAGAUUAGAGAACCACCGACCACCAGGGAUGUCCCAUGGCAAUGAGAGUCUUUGUUGUUUCUCAGCUGAUUCGACUGGACACCAAGGCAAACAGAAUGAAAGAUGUCAUCAGUGUGAUGCUUGUCUCC
Long non-coding RNA from Tyto alba (common barn owl), 702 nucleotides. RefSeq lists it as uncharacterized. NCBI's taxonomy places the organism in Eukaryota, Metazoa, Chordata, Aves, Strigiformes, Tytonidae. The record is from RefSeq and is a predicted model, not a curated record. The transcript has 3 exons.